AAAAUUUAGUUUAAAAAAAACAUUAGUUUGUCAAACUAAAAUUAUUAAUAUAAUAAUUUUUUA
Molecule: transfer RNA, 63 nt
Filed under: Anthribidae sp. 9 ACP-2013
Lineage: Eukaryota; Metazoa; Arthropoda; Insecta; Coleoptera; Anthribidae
Description: tRNA-Asp
Source: RNAcentral